AUACGUAGGUGACAAGCGUUAUCCGGAUUUACUGGGCGUAAAGGGCGUGUAGGCGGUCUUGCAAGUCAGAAGUGAAAUUCCUGAGCUCAACUCGGGCGCUGCUUCUGAAACUGCAGGACUUGAGUGCUGGAGGGGAUAGCGGAAUUCCUAGUGGAGCGGUAAAAUGCGCAGAUAUUAGGAAGAACACCGGUGGCGAAGGCGGCCAUCUGGACAGUAACUGACGCUGAGGCGCGAAAGCGUGGGGAGCAAACAGGAUUAGAUACCCUGGUAGUCCACGCUGUAAACGAUGAUUACUAGGUGUGGGGGGACUGACCCCUUCCGUGCCGCAGUUAACACAAUAAGUAAUCCACCUGGGGAGUACGGCCGCAAGGUUGAAACUCAAAUGAAUUGGCGGGG
RNAcentral lists this ribosomal RNA (396 nucleotides) under uncultured bacterium. RNAcentral's name for it is "partial 16S ribosomal RNA". It matches the Rfam family "Bacterial small subunit ribosomal RNA", at positions 523 to 918 of the family's 1533-position model. The record is from RNAcentral.